RNAcentral lists this ribosomal RNA (515 nucleotides) under Berosus garciai. RNAcentral describes it as "partial 16S ribosomal RNA". It matches the Rfam family "Bacterial large subunit ribosomal RNA", at positions 1831 to 2608 of the family's 2925-position model. The record is from RNAcentral. Lineage: Eukaryota; Metazoa; Arthropoda; Insecta; Coleoptera; Hydrophilidae.
UUAUGUAAUAUAAUUUAAGGUCUGGCCUGCCCAAUGAUUUAAUUUAAUGGCCGCAGUAUUUUGACUGUGCAAAGGUAGCAUAAUCAUUAGUUUCUUAAUUAGGAACUGGUAUGAAUGGUUGGAUGAGAGAAGAACUGUCUCAUGUUGAUUAUAUAGAAUUUUAUCUUUAAGUUAAAAAGCUUAAAUUUGGAUUAAAGACGAGAAGACCCUUUAGAGUUUUAUAAUAAUAUAUUUUGGAUUUUUAAGUAUAUAUAGGUCGAUAGUUGAAUUAUUAUUUUGUUGGGGUGAUGGAAAAAUUUAAUUAACUUUUUUUUUAUAUUAACACAUUUGAGUGAUUUGUUGAUCCAUUAUUUAUGAUCAUAAGUUUAAAUUACCUAAGGGAUAACAGCGUAAUCUUUAUGGAGAGUUCUUAUUGAUAUAAGGGUUUGCGACCUCGAUGUUGGAUUAAAAUUUAUUUUUGGUGCAAAAGCUAAAUAAUUAGGUCUGUUCGACCUUUAAAAUUUUACGUGAUCUGA